Molecule: RNase P RNA, 451 nt
Filed under: Actinomycetota bacterium
Lineage: Bacteria; Bacillati; Actinomycetota
Description: Actinobacteria bacterium RNase P RNA component class A
Rfam family: Bacterial RNase P class A
About the family: Ribonuclease P (RNase P) is a ubiquitous endoribonuclease, found in archaea, bacteria and eukarya as well as chloroplasts and mitochondria.
Source: RNAcentral
GGGGUUGGUCGGGUAGUCGCGCAAAGGGGUGUAAGAUAUAAAUACUUAUACACCUUUGUGAGGAAAGUCCGAGCUCCACAGGGCAGGAUGCUGGGUAACGCCCAGCGAGAUUAGGCGUAAGCCUAAUCUCAGCGAAAGUGCAACAGAAAAUAUACCGCCAGGACGUAUGAAAAACGUUCUGGUAAGGGUGAAAUGGCGAGGUAAGAGCUCACCAGCAGCCUGGUGACAGGCUGGCUUGGCAAACCGCAUCCGGAGCAAGGCCAAAUAGGGAAGAGAUAAGGUGGCCCGCCUUUCUUCCGGGUUGGCCGCUUGAGGUAGAUAGGAAUAUCUACCCUAGAUGGAUGACUACCGCUAUUUAUGGGUUACCUUUGAGAAAUUCCACUUUUGUGGGAUAUCUUUAUGGGGUGAUCCAUAAGUAGUACAGAACUCGGCUUACAGGCUAACUCCAGCC